GCUCACUUGGCCGAGUGGUUAAGGCGGCAGACUUAAGCUCAACUGCUAAGGAUUCUGCUACAUUUAAUGUGCGCAGGUUCGAACCCUGCAGUGAGCA
Non-coding RNA from Fusarium sp. DS 682, 97 nucleotides. NCBI's taxonomy places the organism in Eukaryota, Fungi, Ascomycota, Sordariomycetes, Hypocreales, Nectriaceae. The record is from the annotation of a GenBank genome assembly.